RNAcentral lists this long non-coding RNA (537 nucleotides) under Nicotiana benthamiana. RNAcentral describes it as "long non-coding RNA (NBEN_LNC008010)". Lineage: Eukaryota; Viridiplantae; Streptophyta; Magnoliopsida; Solanales; Solanaceae. The record is from RNAcentral.
AUUUUGUAUCCGACACAUGAAAUAAGUUAAGUGUAAGUCUAAAGGAAGUAAUCGAUAAAUUAAAUAGUCAGUAAUUUAAUUUGAUUGAUUAAUGUCUGAAUCUUAACAUGAGGAGUUAAAUAAGGUUUUAUGGAAAAAUUUCGAAAUUGAACUAAGGAGUGCAAUUACGAAUUUUUAGUGGAAUAAUUCGUAAUUUAUUAUGAUGGAAAUUAAUUUCAGAAUUUCGAAAUUAAUAUCAUAUAGUAAGCCUUGUUAAUUAAAUUAUGUGGUUCCUACUGUGACUAAAUAAUAGGAAAUAAUGGAAACUGUUACUGAGUUGGAAAGAAAAUGUGGAAACCGGCCUUUAGUGGGAGAAGGAAACCUAACAGGUUUUGAAAACGGUUUUGACCUAAAAAACGCAGCUAUAGGCCCUUAGUGGGAGAAGGAAACCUAACAGGUUUUGAAAACAGUUUUGACCUAAAAAAUGCAGAUAUAUAUAUACAUAUAGGGGCUGGACGUUUUUGACACAAUUUUGACUGCGGUUUCUACUAGAAUUUU